RNAcentral lists this ribosomal RNA (253 nucleotides) under uncultured bacterium. RNAcentral's name for it is "partial 16S ribosomal RNA". It matches the Rfam family "Bacterial small subunit ribosomal RNA", at positions 524 to 776 of the family's 1533-position model. The record is from RNAcentral.
GACGAAGGUGGCGAGCGUUGUUCGGAAUCACUGGGCAUAAAGCGCAAGCAGGCGGCACGGUAAGUCGGAUGUGAAAUCCCUCGGCCCAACCGAGGAACUGCGUCCGAUACUGCCGAGCUUGAGAUCGGGAGGGGUGCGUGGAAUUCCGGGUGGAGCGGUGAAAUGCGUUGAUAUCCGGAGGAACACCGGCGGCGAAAGCGACGCACUGGUCCGAUUCUGACGCUGAGUUGCGAAAGCCAGGGUAGCAAACGGG